This 514-nucleotide ribosomal RNA is filed under the name uncultured Burkholderiales bacterium. Its description in RNAcentral is "bacterial SSU rRNA". It matches the Rfam family "Bacterial small subunit ribosomal RNA", at positions 85 to 595 of the family's 1533-position model. The record is from RNAcentral. Lineage: Bacteria; Pseudomonadati; Pseudomonadota; Betaproteobacteria; Burkholderiales.
CCCCUUGAGAGUGGCGAACGGGUGAGUAAUAUAUCGGAACGUGCCCAGUCGUGGGGGAUAACGUAGUGAAAAUUACGCUAAUACCGCAUACGAUCUAAGGAUGAAAGCGGGGGAUCGCAAGACCUCGCGCGACUGGAGCGGCCGAUAUCAGAUUAGGUAGUUGGUAGGGUAAAGGCCUACCAAGCCAACGAUCUGUAGCUGGUCUGAGAGGACGACCAGCCACACUGGAACUGAGACACGGUCCAGACUCCUACGGGAGGCAGCAGUGGGGAAUUUUGGACAAUGGGCGAAAGCCUGAUCCAGCCAUUCCGCGUGCAGGAUGAAGGCCCUCGGGUUGUAAACUGCUUUUGUACAGAACGAAAAGGUUUCUAUUAAUACUAGGAGCUCAUGACGGUACUGUAAGAAUAAGCACCGGCUAACUACGUGCCAGCAGCCGCGGUAAUACGUAGGGUGCAAGCGUUAAUCGGAAUUACUGGGCGUAAAGCGUGCGCAGGCGGUUAUAUAAGUCAGAUGU